GUAGGUGGCAAGCGUUGUCCGGAAUUAUUGGGCGUAAAGCGCGCGCAGGCGGUUCUUUAAGUCUGAUGUGAAAGCCCACGGCUCAACCGUGGAGGGUCAUUGGAAACUGGAGAACUUGAGUACAGAAGAGGAAAGCGGAAUUCCACGUGUAGCGGUGAAAUGCGUAGAGAUGUGGAGGAACACCAGUGGCGAAGGCGGCUUCCUGGUCUGUAACUGACGCUGAGGCGCGAAAGCGUGGGGAGCAAACAGGAUUAGAUACCCUGGUAGUCCACGCCGUAAACGAUGAGUGCUAAGUGUUAGGGGGUUUCCGCCCCCCUUAGUGCUGCAGCUAACGCAUUAAGCACUCCGCCUGGGAGUACGGCCGCAAGGCUG
This 372-nucleotide ribosomal RNA is filed under the name uncultured organism. RNAcentral's name for it is "partial 16S ribosomal RNA". It matches the Rfam family "Bacterial small subunit ribosomal RNA", at positions 527 to 896 of the family's 1533-position model. The record is from RNAcentral.